GACGAACGCUGGCGGCGUGCCUAAUACAUGCAAGUAGGACGCAGUUGCGAACGGGAGAGUAACGCGUAGGUAACUACCUAUUAGAGGGGGAUAACUAUUGGAAACGCUAGCUAAAAUCGCAUACUAGUAGAUGGACGUGCGUGGUAUUAGCUAGUAGGUAGGGUAAUGGCCUACCUAGGAAACGAAACAUAGCCGGCCUGAGGAGGGGUUCGGGCCAAACGGGGCUGGGACACGGCCCAGGCUCCUACGGUGAGCAACAGUAGGGAAUCUUCGGGAAUUGGGCGAACCCUGACCGAGCAACGCCCCGGGAGUUGAAGAGGUUUUCGGAUCGUAAAGCUCUGUUGUUAAGAAAGCGGUACUUAACCAGAAAGGGACGGCUAACUACGUGCCAGCAGCCGCGGUAAUAC
RNAcentral lists this ribosomal RNA (407 nucleotides) under uncultured bacterium. RNAcentral's name for it is "partial 16S ribosomal RNA". It matches the Rfam family "Bacterial small subunit ribosomal RNA", at positions 28 to 526 of the family's 1533-position model. The record is from RNAcentral.